This 253-nucleotide ribosomal RNA is filed under the name uncultured bacterium. RNAcentral's name for it is "partial 16S ribosomal RNA". It matches the Rfam family "Bacterial small subunit ribosomal RNA", at positions 524 to 776 of the family's 1533-position model. The record is from RNAcentral.
AACGUAGGAGACGAACGUUAUCCGGAGUUACUGGGCGUAAAGAGCGCGCAGGCGGUCGUGCAAGUCGCGUGUGAAAGCCCCCGGCUCAACUGGGGAGGGUCACGCGAUACUGCUCGACUCGAAGGCAGGAGAGGGAAGUGGAAUUCCCGGUGUAGUGGUGAAAUGCGUAGAUAUCGGGAGGAACACCAGUGGCGAAGGCGACUGCCUGGCCUGUUCUUGACGCUGAGGCGCGAAAGCUAGGGUAGCAAACGGG